This is a long non-coding RNA of Pistacia vera, 255 nucleotides long. RefSeq lists it as uncharacterized. The transcript has 5 exons. The record is from RefSeq and is a predicted model, not a curated record. Lineage: Eukaryota; Viridiplantae; Streptophyta; Magnoliopsida; Sapindales; Anacardiaceae.
GUUUGCUUUAUGCUUCCUUUACAGGUGGAAUUUUGAGGGGUUCUAGAAGGGAAAGAUUGUUAAAUAAGUUUUGGAAAACGAGUGUGAGAAGAUAGAUCGUCUUAUGGAGUUGUAUAUGAGAUAUUCAGAUAGAGUUGCAGCGGAGACUGAACGAAUGAAUGAGCUUGAACUUGAUGAUUUAGAGAUGGAUGAAGAAGAAAGGUAUAAUCGGAGGCUUGAAUCUGGACUAUACACUCUUCAGUUAAUUGCUAUCAU